GCCUGCGGACCUAUUUAAAACUUUGUGAUACAUUAUUUUUAUUUGUGAAAUAAUAAUUUUCAGAAAAUUUAUCAUAUAGAUGAUCAAAGAGUCAAUUAAAUUUGUUUCUAACAUUUAAACAAGUUGGUAUCGAAAUUUAUUGUUGUAGCCCAAUUCAAAAAGUUAGAAGAACCAAUUUAGCCACACACUUGAACAUCAAAUGUGACGGCACUUAAACAACUAACUACCUCCUCCUCCUCCUCCUCCUCCUAAUAAUUCUGGGGCGACCGGUUUUUACAGACAUUUUCAGCGAUUGGGUGACGUGACUUUGUCUACAUCAGCUAUUGAUGAUAAAAAAAAAAAAACUUCUUCAACAUAUCACGCCUCUUCUUUUCUCUUGCCAAACACUUUCCUCUUCUCUCUGUGCUUAUCAAAUCCACCUUGUCGCUACUCCAAUCCGCCACUGCCACUGCCACUGCCACUGCCGCCGCUCCCUUCCUUCUCUCUUCUAGCAGCCUUAAGGUAUGUAUACUAUUUGAGAGAUUUCCCAUGUCGCCCUAGAUUUAGAAUAUCAAAUUCCCAAAACCCUAAAAAAAAAUUAGAUUUAUACAAAUCUGGGUGUGAUAGAUUUAGAUUCUUGUUUUGGGUGUAACUUUUGUUAUGGAGUAUUUUAUAUGGAUUUUCCUCUUGGGUUUUCCGUUUAUGGUUGAAUUAAUUUGCUCAACAAUAUCCUGCCUUUAUGGUGUGCACUUUUGGUGUUUGAUAAAUUGUCUCAAAGAUGUUCAAGUGCUUUAAAACUAAUUUUCCUCAAAUUUUCAAACAUGAAUUCCAAAUUUUCACCUUUGUUUUUUUUAACAAUUUAGUGAUCAGGAAGGUUAUAUUAGCUUAUUUUGACUAUCCCUGCCUUACUGACUAUCCAUUUGAGAAACUUAUUUAUUUAGAUUAAUUGUAUGUUUUAUUUUACUGCAUUUUCUUUUGUGUAGAGUUCUCAAGAUGACUAUUUUAUAAGCGUACUCAAUAACCCAUAUCAAGUCGAACAUCAAGUUGGACUACACGAGACAUGGUGCAAUAGAUCUCAAUUUACAGGUUUGUCACUAAUUUAUUUGAAUAAAUCAAAUUCUUAGAGGUUUUAAUUUAUACCAUAAUUAUUAUUAUUUUAAACAUUUUAGGCGGGAGACUUCUCCACCAACGCAAAUCUGCAAUCAUCACAUGUUAAUGACUUUUCAUUUGCCACAAAUCAUAAUGUCUAUUACGGAGGGGGUUUCCUCAUUCAUUUUCAGGUAUAAUAUCUUAUUUCACUACUUUCUCUUUCAAUUUGUGGUGUCUUAUUGGAUGUUAUUUGUUUCUAAAAACUACCAUUUUAUUUUUCUUGUUGCAGGAUUAUUAUAAUCCAUAUUGAAGAAGUGGUGAAGGAUGUGAUCCGAACAAUAGGAGCGGAUAAUAUGGUGGGAUUACUUGAUGAAUAACAUGGGGACGAUGCAUUUGUUGUAGUUCUAUAAAUGUGUGAUACAUUUAUUUUACUUGUAGUUUGUAAAAAUUGUUACAUGUGUAUGUUAAGAAUAUUCAAGGGAAAGCAUCUUUUUAGCAAGGGAAAGCAGUUAUAUUGAUAAUUUUUUGGGCAUAUUGCUGCUAUUAUGAACUGUGUUGGGGCAGUUAGAGUUGCACAAUAAUGUUGGACUUUUUGAUGUAGAACUUAAGAAGGAAUAUUGCUGCUAUUUCCAUGCCUUAUUUUUUAUUUUUUCCCCCUUUUAAUGUAGAACUUUAAGGAACAGUUAGUUUUAUUAUAGCUUUCUCAUACGAUUUUGGGAUGAAUUCCUUUUUAAUAAGCUCAUAUUACAGAAAAAAAUUCAAAUGAGGCAUCAAGACCCAUUAUCAAUUGCCUUUUAAAACAACUAAAACUGCUUGAAUCAAGACCCAAUUGAUA
This 1903-nucleotide long non-coding RNA is filed under the name Panax ginseng (ginseng). RNAcentral describes it as "long non-coding RNA (PGIN_LNC016498)". The record is from RNAcentral. Lineage: Eukaryota; Viridiplantae; Streptophyta; Magnoliopsida; Apiales; Araliaceae.